GCCUAAUACAUGCAAGUCGAACGCACUCUCGUUUAGAUUGAAGGAGCUUGCUCCUGAUUGAUAAACAUUUGAGUGAGUGGCGGACGGGUGAGUAACACGUGGGUAACCUGCCCUAAAGUGGGGGAUAACAUUUGGAAACAGAUGCUAAUACCGCAUAAAACCUAACACCGCAUGGUGUAGGGUUGAAAGAUGGUUUCGGCUAUCACUUUAGGAUGGACCCGCGGUGCAUUAGUUAGUUGGUGAGGUAAAGGCUCACCAAGACCGUGAUGCAUAGCCGACCUGAGAGGGUAAUCGGCCACACUGGGACUGAGACACGGCCCAGACUCCUACGGGAGGCAGCAGUAGGGAAUCUUCCACAAUGGACGAAAGUCUGAUGGAGCAACGCCGCGUGAGUGAAGAAGGUUUUCGGAUCGUAAAACUCUGUUGUUGGAGAAGAAUGUAUCUGAUAGUAACUGAUCAGGUAGUGACGGUAUCCAACCAGAAAGCCACGGCUAACUACGUG
RNAcentral lists this ribosomal RNA (502 nucleotides) under uncultured bacterium. Its description in RNAcentral is "bacterial SSU rRNA". It matches the Rfam family "Bacterial small subunit ribosomal RNA", at positions 46 to 507 of the family's 1533-position model. The record is from RNAcentral.